Molecule: long non-coding RNA, 3451 nt
Organism: Passer domesticus (house sparrow)
Lineage: Eukaryota; Metazoa; Chordata; Aves; Passeriformes; Passeridae
Exons: 5
Source: RefSeq, a predicted model, not a curated record
UGACAAUUUGCUUCAAACCCAAACAGCUGGCUCUGUGACCCUCCAGGUAACAACAAAUACAAGAACAGGAGGAACAGGAAUAAUUCAAAUCCACAAUAUAUCCAGUUGCUGUUCUAAAUCCUAAGGAUUCUAAGCCUGCAAAGUACUGAAACCCAACUUUCCUGCCAUUUUCAAGGGCCUCUCAUGGAGUUCAGUGGGAAACUGAGGCUCUUGACCCUCUGCUGGACAGGAUCUUAGUGUUGGAAGGAAAUUGCCUGGCAUCUUGUACAACCUGCUAAUGUGCUUGUGCAUUCAUGCACAGCAAUUGAUCUUACAAGCUUCUGAGUGUUCACUGGACUUGCCAUUAUACCAUGAAUAUUUUAUAGCUGCACCACUGUAAUAACAGUAAUUACAUUUGCCCUUUUACAGAACCUUUUAUAUAAGGGUUUCAAGGUGGUUUAUGGAUGGUAAUUAGGCCCCAUGGUCUUCCUGUGGAGUAAGAAUUAUUAUUACCUUUCUGCAAAUGGGGAAGCUGAGGUACAGAAAAUCUGAACUUGACCUUGCCCAAGGUCAUAUCUCAAAUCACUGCCAGGAUGAGGAGAUGAAUUCAAGGAUUCCUGCUCCAAGGUUUCUGUACUUAUUUAUUUGGCUUAGAUUAUGCUUCUAACUGAAGACAAACUUUUAAGCUUAAAACUGUCAAUAUUUUCCAAUUAUUUGGAGUAUCGCACAUUUUUCCUGUUCUGAAGAGUUGCUGUGCCUCCCAUCACAUCCACGUGUCAGAAGGUACUGAGAUGAUUUUGAGGUGCUGCCCCCACAGGCCCUCAUCCUACCCAGAGAUGCCAGUGGGGACCUCACUAAGGAUUAACCCAGGCCUGCAGAAUCCCGGCUUCACAGAAGUAACUGGGAAAUUAUCACUUAAUUCUGCCUGUUCAGAACGUCCUUCAGGGAGUUCAGAGAUACCUUUGGCACUCAGGAAGACACUGUAAUUACUGUAAAUGAUGUAAAAUCCUUUAAGCUAUGAGAGAUUCGACCAGUCUGAUCAAUACCUUGCAAUAACAAGGUUUAGCUUGCUCCUGUGCCUCAGCACCUCUCAGCUUUGAUGCAUUGAGAAUCAUUAGUUUUUAUCCCAUGCAUGUAACAAAUGAAAACCAUGAAUUGGAGUGGACGUGGCAUUUUGAAAACCACAAAGCACUUGAUUUAUUCAAUUUAUGUUUACAUAGGGAUUAUUUCACCCAUCAGUGAAAUGCAGCUGCCUCUGGCUUGGAAAACGUCAGUCUUUAAAAAGAAACAUUGCUAAGUGAAAAGAACUUUAUCUCAUAUAAAACUUGAGGAGGAAUGUAGGCUUGCAGAAUGUAAUUACUCAUUUGGAUUUUAGCCCAGACACCAAAGCUAUCAUUGCCUCUUUAGCAAGAGGAACUUGGAAUCUUAAGUGGUUGCACAUAAUGAAAGCCUUGAUUCUGCAACCUUUUUGGAAAAUAAAAUUACUAUUAGUAGUACAAUGCUUCCCAAAUAUUUGGAUGUAAUUGCACUUAUGAUUUACAUCACACUUUGAACAAGAGAACUCCAGAGGCUCUAUAAAAGUAAAGGUGGCUUUGAUUUCCAGAACAGCCCUGUUCCCUGCUGCUGGAUCUCCACAUUUCAGAGCCUGAAAAAUGUUGUCACAAGGGGAAUAAGUGACUCUGCUCUGGCCCCUGCAUCCAUGCAGAACUUCUCAGUGUUCCAAAAGGGAAGUUUCCUGCAUGGAUUGCUGCCAGCUGCAGGGAUGUGGCACUCAGUAAUGACUGUGACAGCAGGAGCUGCUCUGAAGGAUUGAUUCACCUCACAGCCUAUUGAUUGUGGGGUUUGUAGCAGCAUUUUUAGCACUGGUGUCAAAUCAUGGAUGGAUUUGUGAUAAAACUUCCAGGAUUUUUAGAAGCAGUGAGAUUCCAGAGUGGGCACAUCCGUUUUCUCUGUGAUGUCCAACAUCUGUGCAAUCAUUUCUACCCACAGCAAAAUUGGUGAGGGUGUUCCAGCAGUGAAGAUGUUGUCUUUUUCCUUCUGUAUCCUUGGCAUUUUCAUCAAUUUCUCCAAAGGAUUCUCUGUCUUCCCAGAUUUUGAGCUGUUGCCAGACUGUCAUCUGAAGAUCUGUGUUAUUUUAACAUUGUCCCAAAAAUUGGAGAAGAGAAACCUCAUCCAAAUGGUACUAAACCCCAUAUUUUACAUACUAUGCUCAUUUCAGAAAACCUAUUGAAAAGAUAGGAAGAGAGUUAUGGAGAAAAGAAUGGAAGUUUGUGAGGAAUGACACAUAAAUGAAAAGAAUAAGGGUGUAGAGGUUUUUGUUUAUUUCUUAAACAAGGAGUUUUGGUCUGUCUUAUACUGACAAGACUUUUGGUCAGUGUUACCUUACAAGAUGUUAGAGAGUCUGUUAUGUGGAAUCUCUGUAAUAAUAAUUAAACCCAAAAUAGUUCCCCACAGUUUAUGAUCAGAGAAUCAUAGAAUUAAAGACUAACAGAAUUAAGGAAUCAUGAAAUUAAGAAGUCAUGGAAUGGUUUGUGUUGGAAGGGACCAUAAAAACCAUCUGAUUCCAACCCAGUCAUGGACAACUGGGUCCUGACUGAGGAGGGAAGUUGGGCAACAAGACUCCAGAGGUCCCUUUCAAAGUCAACCUUUCUCUGAUUCUCUGAUGCAGUAAUUCUGUGACUCUAAAUAACUUUCUGCCUUAUGAAACUGAAGAUCUCCAAAAUAAGAUCAGAGAUGUAAAAACAUCUGGCUUUACAGAUUCCCCCCAUCUGUCAGAAGUACAAGUUCUUCUAAGACCAGUUGGUCUGAAAAUUCUCUUUUCAAUGUUUCAAAUGCUUUUUCACCUGGUUUAAAACAUCCUAAACCAAAAGGGUUCUAAUUAUACAUUGCCCCAGGGAAGGAAAAUUGCAGGUUUCCUGCAUCCUGCUGUUGGGUUUUGUGCUGCCCAUCAGAGAGGGGGCAAGAGGUAGAAACAGGUCAGUGUGUGGUGGAGCAGAGAGCAGCAGGUGAGAAAGAAUGACAGAGGAGUCUGAGAAAUUGCUGGUAAUUGUGGUCCAGCCCUUCAAAAAUUCCUGUCAAGAGGCAGAACUAGACACAUUUUGUUUUUCAGUAGUCUCUGAGCCUCUCAUGGUAAUGAGAGAAAAUUGGGGGUUUUCCCCCUCUGCUCUGUAUGUGUUUGUGGCCACAUUGCAUAGGGAGGAAGGAGCUGUUUGUUUCCUUACCAAUUGAUAUUUGAAAUCUUCUCCCCUUUUAACAAACUCAUUCAUCUUCACAGCACCUUUGCUACCAGGCAAUUUCUACAAAUCAAGCUGAACAUUCGAUCUGUGUUGUUUUUAAUGAUCUUUCUUGCCAAUAUUUAUAAUGUGCUUUGAAAGCUGAGGCAGACCAUGGGCUAGAUAUUUAAUAUUAAUUAAUUUGUCACUCCCCAGAACACGCACAUGCUGAGGAGACGAGUAAACAUGUUUAAUUCUAC